This 108-nucleotide ribosomal RNA is filed under the name Clostridium botulinum. RNAcentral's name for it is "partial 16S ribosomal RNA". It matches the Rfam family "Bacterial small subunit ribosomal RNA", at positions 1433 to 1533 of the family's 1533-position model. Lineage: Bacteria; Bacillati; Bacillota; Clostridia; Eubacteriales; Clostridiaceae. The record is from RNAcentral.
AGCUAACCUCGCAAGAGGAGGCAGCGACCUAAGGUAGGGUCAGCGAUUGGGGUGAAGUCGUAACAAGGUAGCCGUAGGAGAACCUGCGGCUGGAUCACCUCCUUUCUA